RNAcentral lists this unclassified non-coding RNA (3588 nucleotides) under Hevea brasiliensis (rubber tree). Lineage: Eukaryota; Viridiplantae; Streptophyta; Magnoliopsida; Malpighiales; Euphorbiaceae. The record is from RNAcentral.
AAAAUAUAAUGCUUGAUUUCUACUUGUUAGUUCAUGUUAAGAUGGGAUUUUCAAGUUCUUGAAGGAAGCAAUGAUCAACAAGAACACACACACGAUAGGAAGAAUAUGGAGGAUGAAACCAGGCUAUGAUAACCUGUAUUAAAGGAAGUUGAGAAGGGGAAAUGACUUUAUGAAUUAGAGAGAUAUUCACUUCUACAGUUCAUUCCCUCUUAAAUAAUCUUGAUUUUCAUGGUCAAAUUUAGGUGAUGCACCUAACCUUGUGGAGGAACUCAUUUCUGUCAUCAAGGAGAUAUCUCCUCUUUCUCAAUCAUUCCAGUCACUUGUGCUACCUAAAGAAUCUGAUUCAUUUGUGGAUAAGUAAUCAUCUUCAAUUUCUGAGUGUUCUUUAUCAAUAGAAUCAACUUGGGCGUCUGAAACACCUGGAGAAAAUCCAUCAGAAGACAAACCAUCGCUUUCUUUUUUCGGUUUCUGAGAUUCCCUAGCUGGACUGUCCAAGAUGGAAAGGGGAUUCCUAUUAUUUGGAUCACCAUAAAGUGCAAUGUGCCUAUAAUACAGCUCUAAUUCCUUUUCCGCAAUGGCUAUGAAAUGCCUCACGGACUCGAGCGACUGCUCACACUUGGAUUUUUCCAAUGCCCUUUUUUUGGACAAUGUAUCUAUUGGCGACAUGACUUCUGGCUGCACAUAGUUCUUCCCUCGAUAAAAUAUAAUGGUGUCAUCUUCAAUAAACUGUAUGGGGAUCCCACCACUCAACCUGGCAAUUUCCUGAGCAUAUUCCUGUACUUGGCCAGGUUUGCUAUUCUUGCAAAUAACCUUUACGGUUUCAUGCUUCUUCCAAUGCAUAUGCAUAUUAAGAAUGACGCCUCCAAAUAUUCCUCUUCUGCCAACUGGCACGUAAUUGGAUUUUUUUUGGGCCAUCUUUUUGAUAAAAAAUCGUUCCUCGCCACUCAGAUCGUGUGGUUUGACCUCAGGACCCUGAAUUUUAGGAACUUCAUACCGCUUAAGUCUUUCAAUGAGUAAGGCUUCCUUGAUCUUGGCCCUCUCAAGUUUGUACUUGAUUCUUUCUUCAGCAUUAGCAAAUUUCUGCUUCUUCUUCCUCUUGACAGUAAGCCUACGCGGGUCCCUCUUAUUAGCCUCUUUUCUCUUCUGCUUCUCUCUCAUUCUCUGCAUUUUCAGCCUCUUCUUCGUCUGCCAUUUCUCCUUCUUUGGAGGAUCAACCUCGUGCGUUUCAAACUUGACUUUCCCCUCUGACAACACCAGGUUUACAGUACCAUGGCUCAAAUUUCUAAACACCCAGCAUGGUUUUGGCAGAUUCAGUGAAAUUACGUGUCUAGAUGGAAAGAAAAAUGAUUCCGAGGAAUGAAAAAUUGGCCUGUUAGGCACAGAAAAAAGAUCCCCUCAAUUAUCCAACAAUCAAGAAUCAAUUUUGGGAGAGGGGGGAAGAGUGUACCUGAGAACGAAGGGGUUGGAAGGUGAUGGUGGCUUAACAAGUGAAGAAGCCUUUCUCAAGCUACGAAACACAGCUACUGCCAUGCCAGUAGGAGGAAGAGGGAGGUAGCAAAAGAAAAAAAGCUACACAAGUCAAAAAUCAAAAUGGGCUAUUCAGAAUGCAGACCUCAAUAACGAAACUGUAACAUUGCGGAAGAAUGGGUGAUCAACUGAUCUUUAUAGAAAGAGAAUUCCGCUUGUAGGGUUGUGGUUCAACAGAAUAACCGAACAUAUCGUUGUUGGGUUUUUGGGCCACUCUUCUCGAGUCUCAAUAGUUUCAAGAAAAGAAAAACCCUAACUCUCUAAGCCCUAUUAGAUCAAUAAUUUGGGGAAAUUUACAAAUCCUAAUCUUUCUCAAGAAUCAAACCUCUGCUGCUUCUGCUAUUCACUGGUUGCACACUUGAACCUUGGAAGGCUGUCUGCACCUCCACUUGGCUUAGCGUAAGCUUUUCCUUCGUCAACUGUUUUAGCGAAAAACGGUCUAGUCCACCUAUACGACACCGUUUUUACUCGUUACAAACAGAGCGGAGGCUGAGCCUUCGCUUCUCAGUCCACAGAGCAGAGCAGCCCACUUUUGUUUUGCAUACUCUUUCUCGGGCUUUGCUAGUCAAGUCUUGUGUCGUUGAAAGACGAUUAGGAGUUAGCUUGAAACCUCCAUUCUCUGCCUGUAGCUGUGGUUUUGUUUAACAGAUAUUGUGUUUUUGGGAAAGAUGAAGAAAAUGAUAGCCUUAGGAUUCGAGGGUUCGGCCAACAAGAUUGGAGUUGGAGUUGUGACCUUAGAUGGGACGAUUUUAUCAAACCCGAGGCAUACUUACAUCACCCCUCCUGGCCAAGGAUUCUUGCCUCGUGAAACUGCCCAACAUCAUUUGCAACAUGUGCUUCCGUUGGUUAAAUCUGCUUUGGAAACUGCCCAAGUAACCUCUGACGAAAUUGAUUGCCUCUGUUACACUAAGGGCCCUGGCAUGGGAGCACCCCUGCAAGUUUCUGCUAUUGUUGUUCGGGUUCUUUCACAGCUCUGGAAGAAGCCCAUUGUUGCUGUUAAUCACUGUGUUGCACAUAUUGAGAUGGGUAGGAUUGUUACUGGGGCGGAUGACCCUGUUGUGUUGUAUGUUAGUGGUGGGAAUACGCAGGUUAUUGCUUACAGUGAAGGGCGAUAUCGAAUCUUUGGGGAGACUAUUGAUAUUGCUGUUGGGAAUUGUUUGGAUCGAUUUGCCAGGGUUUUACAACUCUCCAACGAUCCUGCUCCUGGAUAUAAUAUAGAGCAGCUUGCUAAGAAAGGAGAACAAUUUAUAGACCUUCCUUACGUUGUCAAAGGAAUGGAUGUUUCUUUUAGUGGCAUAUUGAGCUUUAUUGAAGCUACCACAGAGGAGAAGCUUAAAAAUAAUGAAUGUACUCCUGCAGACUUGUGCUACUCCCUACAGGAAACUGUGUUUGCUAUGCUUGUUGAGAUCACAGAACGGGCAAUGGCACAUUGUGACAAGAAAGAUGUUCUUAUUGUUGGUGGUGUGGGAUGCAAUGAACGGUUGCAAGAGAUGAUGAAAACAAUGUGCUCUGAGAGGGGUGGAACAUUGUAUGCAACUGAUGACAGGUAUUGCAUUGACAAUGGAGCAAUGAUUGCGUACACUGGUCUCCUGGCUUUUGCUCAUGGCACAACAACACCACUAGAGGAAUCAACUUUCACCCAGAGGUUCCGCACUGAUGAAGUGCAUGCAGUCUGGAGAGAGAAAGAGUCAGCUAGCGUGAAUGUUACUGGAGAAUAGGUCCUAAACCAAGCAAACCUAAGGUUUGCCUUUUUGCUGUUGCUAUAAGUAUGAGUACUUGGGGUAACUUUACAACAACAACUGCUAUAUGGAUCUUUUUUGUUUACCAUUCAGCUCUGUUAUACACCAGGUCCGUAUCAAUACCUAUGUGCUUGCUUGAUGUAACUAUAGCAAUAAAAAAUUUCAGUAUAUACCAACCAAGUGGGACUCCUGGAGAAGUGGAGAUCAAUGUAUUAUUCUCUGGUAGCUAGUUUUGUAAUUGUAAGGCAUAUUUGCAGCUACUCAUCAAAAGGGAAUUGUUAUGUUCACAUCCAUUGCCUGCCAAGUAUAUAUUAUAUUAAAA